CUUAAGAAAUCGAGCCCACACACGCAGCAAGUGUGCGGAAGAAGAGAGGAAGAGUGCUUGGUGCGCUGAUUGCGGAACGAAUGUUUAUAUAUGACAAAGUGACGCUGUCAAUAGACA
Caenorhabditis elegans is the source of this 117-nucleotide non-coding RNA. NCBI's taxonomy places the organism in Eukaryota, Metazoa, Nematoda, Chromadorea, Rhabditida, Rhabditidae. The record is from Ensembl.